RNAcentral lists this ribosomal RNA (202 nucleotides) under fungal sp. RNAcentral's name for it is "partial small subunit ribosomal RNA". It matches the Rfam family "Eukaryotic small subunit ribosomal RNA", at positions 1375 to 1576 of the family's 1831-position model. The record is from RNAcentral. Lineage: Eukaryota; Fungi.
ACGCCAUUGAAUGCUAACUGCGUUCGUAAGCUCUUCUUAGAAGGACUGACUACCUUUAGUGGUCCGAAGUUUGAGGCAAUAACCGGUCUGUGAUGCCCUUAGAUGUUCUGGGCUGCACGCGCGCUACACUGACCGAAGCAGCGAGUAUACCACCUUGACCGGAAGGGCUGGGCAAUCUUUUUAAACUCUGUCGUGGUGGGGA